GAUUAUGGCUCAGGAUGAACGCUAGCGGCAGGCUUAACACAUGCAAGUCGAGGGGCAGCGUGGAGUAGCAAUACUCUGACGGCGACCGGCGAAAGGGUGAGUAACGCGUGAGCAACGUGCCCGGUAUUGGGGGAUAGUCGAUGGAAACGUCGCGUAAUACCCCAUAACAACGAGGAUCGCAUGGUCCAUAGUUUGAAAGAUUCAUUGAUACCGGAUCGGCUCGCGUACCAUUAGCUAGAUGGCGGGUAACGGCCCACCAUGGCGACGAUGGUUAGGGGUCUGAGAGGAAGGUCCCCCACAUUGGAACUGAGACACGGUCCAGACUCCUACGGGAGGCAGCAGUGAGGAAUAUUGGUCAAUGGCCGAGAGGCUGAACCAGCCAUGCCGCCGUGCGGGAGGACGGCCCUAUGGGUUGUAAACCGCUUUUGUAGGGGAGCAAUAAGGUCCACGUGUGGGCCGAUGAGAGUACCCUGCGAAUAAGCAUCGGCUAACUCCGUGCCAGCCGCUGC
This 509-nucleotide ribosomal RNA is filed under the name uncultured bacterium. Its description in RNAcentral is "bacterial SSU rRNA". It matches the Rfam family "Bacterial small subunit ribosomal RNA", at positions 15 to 518 of the family's 1533-position model. The record is from RNAcentral.